This 775-nucleotide long non-coding RNA is filed under the name Strigops habroptila (Kakapo). RNAcentral's name for it is "lncRNA (ENSSHBG00005020151.1)". The record is from RNAcentral. Lineage: Eukaryota; Metazoa; Chordata; Aves; Psittaciformes; Psittacidae.
AUCCGCGGUGGGCCCAGCACCCGCGAGCAGCGGUCACCUCAGCGCAGCCCUGUAAGUAGGUCCCGCUUGCCGUGCAAGGGCCGACGGGCGCAUCCCUCGUAGGCCGCGAGCGGCGCGCAGGCCUUUCCCUUGCGGUACAGUCGAUCACAAGCACCAGUAUCUCCACAUGUGGCCGAAGAAAAGCUAGGGAAAGCUGUACCCAGAGUUAACAUGAAGUACAGACAACUCAGUUUAACACUGUGUUUCUGGAAUUAGUGGAGUACAAGCUGUUAAACUGAAUGCUGUGCUGACGGGAGGUGUGCUGUGUGCCUGUGUUUUCCGUGUGGGUUUUUGUCAUGGUUGUUUACCCAGUUGGUUAAAUAAUAUAAAUACAUGAUCAACUGUUCCAAACCUUUACUCAAUAAAACAUUCCCAUUACUUUCAGCGGGACAUUGCGUAACUGCUACACAAGGCCUAAACUGGGCAGUGAAGCCAUGGUCGCUAAAGAAAACAGCCCUGGAGCACAGUACCACAAAGACCUGCUGCAUUCUUCAUUCACCUCAGAGUUUACACAAGAAAAUCUCUGAAUCAAAAGUGAUCAAGAUACAGAAGAAUAAAAAAUGGCUGAAUUUCUGGAAGCUAGAGCACAAGCAGAUAGCUGGUCUGUGACAAAACCUGAGAGGUGCGAGAAGAUACACGAGAUGAAAAUCAGCUGCUGCAGCAGCAUUCCCAGAUGGACUGAUAUGAUUUACAGAGCAGUCAGGACCAUAGGAACCAGUGACUGACACCCUGCCAC